Molecule: long non-coding RNA, 1049 nt
Organism: Branchiostoma belcheri (Belcher's lancelet)
Lineage: Eukaryota; Metazoa; Chordata; Leptocardii; Amphioxiformes; Branchiostomatidae
Exons: 3
Source: RefSeq, a predicted model, not a curated record
GGCUAAUUUCCGCAGUGGGGUUCCUCGGGUAGCCGUAGUGCUGACGGAUGGAGAGGGCCAAGGUGAUGUCAAUAACCGGAUGAUGGAUGAUUACGCCGAGCAAGCCGAAGCGGGGAGACAGGCAGGGAUCACGCUGUACGCCGUGGCUACCGGAAUGUUCGCGUUCCUGGAUACCGCUGCACUGAACGCCAUCGCCGGGGAGCCGGGCCGGGUGCUCACCACACACUUCGGGCGUCACGGCUGCGCUCUCGCCGCCACGCUGGCGGGAGAUAUCUGCGGUGCCUCUGGAUGAUUCUUGAGGACCCCAACUCAACCCUCAUAUCGAAGAGUGGAUCUGAGACCCAGAUGGGAAAUCUGACAUCCGGAAUGCUAUUGUGAAACUAGCACGACAUGAUUCAUAAGUUUUAGUUAUAGAACGUGCAGAAUCAAAAGAUAUAUGCCUUGCGUAUGGUCUAUAGUAUAACAAUAAGUUGAAGCAAUAGACUAUUUUGAUCAUUUAAAAUUAUUUGUCCUACACACGAGUAUAUCGUUACAGGCACAGGGAAAUUUACAUCAUAUCAUAUAUACCUAUUGAUACUCUAUGUUGAUCAAUGGACACCUACUAAUCACGUUGAUUUCAAUGUAAUUGAAUUUCUCAUAUUCUCCCGAUAGCCUAAUUGUUCUUUUACAGUAGACCGGUAGUGGAAACACAACAGUUAUUCUACUCACAACUACGGAACCACCAAGUUAACGUUUUCAAUAAUUGAUACUACAUGGAAAUUUUCGAAAGUAUAGAAAUAUGUAUUAUGUAUUAUCUACAAAAUCUCUCUUGCUCUUGUAUAGCUGUAUUCUGAAAUUCUAUCAUUCUAACCAGACAUAUAAUUAAGGAGACAGUGGCAUCGGAGGAAGUCUGGCAUUACCAUUGUAUGUUUUGGCAAGACAGUUAUGUUAGAGCUCAUUAGUAUCUGACACAUACAAAUGACGCUGAGUACACCAUAAUACCGGAUUAAAAUACCUGAUGUUGUUGUUGUGGCGUUCUGGUAAAAGCCGGUAAGUGUUUACCAAAGACC